Molecule: ribosomal RNA, 378 nt
Filed under: Triticum aestivum (bread wheat)
Lineage: Eukaryota; Viridiplantae; Streptophyta; Magnoliopsida; Poales; Poaceae
Description: partial small subunit ribosomal RNA
Source: RNAcentral
AUGAGAGGCUCUUCCCUAGUGGCUCGGUGCAUAUUUUCUGUUCAUCCAACAGCUUCCAUUGGCUCUCAAAGGUAUCAACUUGACACCACUCCAGUAGCAUUUGUCCCUUCACCAUCUGAUCCUUCAGAGGUACAGGCUCAAGAUUUAAGUAUAAACCAAAUCCCGGUGUAUGACAUCAAUGAGAAUGUCAGGUGUGAAAGACUCCCAGUGGUCGCUGGAGCUUAUGCACAACAAUUCAGGAAAGAUUUCACACUUUUCCUGCAGCUGAGAGCCAAAGAAUUGGUCCCAGAAGGUUGGAUGGUUGUUUCCCUCCCAGGGAGGCGUUCUGAUGAGCCUCUUUGUACAUACCGGUGCAUGGACCUUCUGAUGAAGAGCUGA